This 441-nucleotide ribosomal RNA is filed under the name uncultured bacterium. RNAcentral describes it as "partial 16S ribosomal RNA". It matches the Rfam family "Bacterial small subunit ribosomal RNA", at positions 338 to 795 of the family's 1533-position model. The record is from RNAcentral.
CCUACGGGAGGCAGCAGUGGGGGAUAUUGCACAAUGGGGGGAACCCUGAUGCAGCGACGCCGCGUGGGUGAAGGAGUGCUUCGGCAUGUAAAGCCCUAUCGGCAGGGAAGAAGCAAGACGGUACCUGACUAAGAAGCCCCGGCUAACUACGUACCAGCAGCCGCGGUAAUACGUAGGGGGCGAGCGUUAUCCGGAUUCACUGGGUGUAAGGGGAGCGUAGACGGCCAGGCAGGCCAGGGGUGAAAGCCCGGGGCCCAACCCCGGGACUGCCCUUGAAACUGUGCGGCUAGAGUGCGGGAGGGGCAGGCGGAAUGCCUGGUGUAGCGGUGAAAUGCGUAGAUAUCAGGAGGAACACCGGCGGCGAAGGCAGCCUGCUGGACCGCGACUGACGUUGAGGCUCGAAAGCGUGGGGAGCGAACAGGAUUAGAUACCCCUGUAGUC